This 315-nucleotide long non-coding RNA is filed under the name Solanum tuberosum (potato). Its description in RNAcentral is "long non-coding RNA (STUB_LNC010916)". Lineage: Eukaryota; Viridiplantae; Streptophyta; Magnoliopsida; Solanales; Solanaceae. The record is from RNAcentral.
UUCAGUCCGUCGACUGCUUCUGAGAAACUGACUAUUUCGGGGUCCUCCUUUCCUCCAGCUCUAAACCCUCCCAAACAAGGUUUCAACCCAUACACUUGGAAGCACAAAAAUCCCUCAACAUACCAUAGAUUACCACUCAAAUACCAACCAAACAAUACAACUAUCAACUUCAACAACUAACAACCUUAACAACAAUUCCAACAACUUCAACAACGAAUCCAAUCCUUUCUCCAUAAAUAAAAGGGGCUAGGUGUGUGGGGGAAAGGAUCACCCAACACUAAAAGCUCACAUACCUUGGUAGGGAUCACCCCCGAC